Small nucleolar RNA from Rosa chinensis, 217 nucleotides. RefSeq annotates it as small nucleolar RNA U3. The transcript has a single exon. The record is from RefSeq and is a predicted model, not a curated record. NCBI's taxonomy places the organism in Eukaryota, Viridiplantae, Streptophyta, Magnoliopsida, Rosales, Rosaceae.
ACGACCUUACUUGAACAGGAUCUGUUCUAUAGGAUCGUACCUCUGUGUCUUUGACUUCUAAGGAGACAGGAUCAUAACCCUGGUGGAUGAAUCAUAGCCAUGCGAUCAGAGCGUGAUUAACGGUUUGGUGAUCCUAGGGUCACCCCAUAGCUGUAGAUGAUCGUUCUCAGCUUGGUCUUACUAAGCUUGGGGUGGUCGCUUGGCUGUCUGACAGGUU